UGGUGAUCAGGUCUGAAAACACUUGUAAUGUAUUGCCAUCUAUAAGGUAAGUUUAUAUGUCAAGGUGGCAAUAAGAAAAAUCGGAUUCUUUUACGAAUCUGUUGCUAUCUAGACAGAAAUUCACAUUAAACAGAAAUUCCCUUUCACUACUUUUGUAAAGUUCCUCCACAAACAGGGACAUAGUUGCUGCAGGACAGCAUAAAAAAGCAUUGGCAACUCCUCUCAUAUAGGACAUAUCAUCAGAAUGCAACCAAUUGAGUCAGGUUCUGUAUUGCAAAGAUUGCAAUUAGACUUUUCCCUUAAAUCUCUUAAUUUAAAAAAAAAAAAAAAGGUCAUAUUGUCAUAAAACCGAACGGUUUGCCUGAAACGCAGAUACACCAGGAAACCAUUUACAGAGAUUUUAUUUAACUGAGAUAAUCACAGGGGAAAGGGAAUCUGGGGUAGGAAUGAAUAAGGGGACAAGAAGGCAACUGGUACUGGAGAGGGGAUCCUAGGGGCUGGAUCACAGAGGGGAGAGUGGCAACGAGGAACGGAGGAAUGAGGAAGGGUCUGCAAGAAGAUGGAGAAGCAUUUAUUGUCAUGAGGUAAGGAGCUGGUAACAGAAAGGAGUUUGCUGGUGAGUUUGUUCCUCUUACUUGCAGGGCUCUGAGGAGGUGAGGUCCGUGGAAGUGUUCAGAGGUAGUUGAGCAGCCAGAUUAUCUGGGAUGCAGUGGCAGGCAGGAGGGCAGGCAAGCAGGCAGGGAAGGCAGCCAGAGAUUCCCAGAGCAGAGGAAAGGAAGUUCACUCCCGGUCACGGCUAUCAGUCUGAAAGCAGCAGUUUAAGGCGUUUCUACGCUCAGGACGAAUAUAUGCCUUUGUGUUUCUGAUGGAAACUACUUUUAGUGGUGCCAGCUGACAUUUGGGAAGGACUGAUUCGCUGUUCACCUUUAAUGUAUCAUUGCAACAGCUGUAUGCUGAGGGAUUACAAAGUUACCAAAGCGGAGACUAUUUAAACUUAAAUGCUUACUGUCUCAUUACACUCAAAGGGUUGGGAUUUCCUUAGCUGACCUAAUGAGACACAUUUUCGAAAUAGUAUAUAUUAAAAAUGCAGUCAUAGAUUUUGACCUUUUUGGAUGUUUUUUUUGUUUUUGUUUCUUUUUUGCUCCUCAUGUGACUGUCUCUGUGAUCACUGCCUGAAAUAAAGGUUUGCAUUAUUUGGGACUUUAAUUGUGCCUUGUGUGUCUUGUUUUUGGUUCAUCUUCCUUGUGGACGAUUAUGUUCUUUUUAGUGUAAUUACUGUGAGUCACACAUGUAUACAUGUGUAUAUAUAUACAAGUAAUGGAUCCAGACUCUAUGCUGCGCUAGCUUGUGAAACUACUACUGGGUAUUUAUAGCUAGCCUAAGCAACAUGCUAAUUACCCUUUUAACUGCAUCUGUGUUCUAAAAAUAACAUUCCAGUAUAUCUAUAUUAUAUUUUGAAGGUAAUUCUUUUUCCAGGUUACAUUU
RNAcentral lists this long non-coding RNA (1485 nucleotides) under Oreochromis niloticus (Nile tilapia). RNAcentral describes it as "lncRNA (ENSONIG00000031939.1)". Lineage: Eukaryota; Metazoa; Chordata; Actinopteri; Cichliformes; Cichlidae. The record is from RNAcentral.